AUUGAACGCUGGCGGCAGGCCUAACACAUGCAAGUCGAGCGGAUGAAGGGAGCUUGCUCCUGGAUUCAGCGGCGGACGGGUGAGUAAUGCCUGGGAAUCUGCCUGGUAGUGGGGGAUAACGUCCGGAAACGGGCGCUAAUACCGCAUACGUCCUGAGGGAGAAAGUGGGGGAUCUUCGGACCUCACGCUAUCAGAUGAGCCUAGGUCGGAUUAGCUAGUUGGUGGGGUAAAGGCCUACCAAGGCGACGAUCCGUAACUGGUCUGAGAGGAUGAUCAGUCACACUGGAACUGAGACACGGUCCAGACUCCUACGGGAGGCAGCAGUGGGGAAUAUUGGACAAUGGGCGAAAGCCUGAUCCAGCCAUGCCGCGUGUGUGAAGAAGGUCUUCGGAUUGUAAAGCACUUUAAGUUGGGAGGAAGGGCAGUAAGUUAAGACCUGGCUGUUUUGACGUUACCAACAGAAGAAGCACCGGCUAACUGCGU
This 483-nucleotide ribosomal RNA is filed under the name uncultured bacterium. Its description in RNAcentral is "partial 16S ribosomal RNA". It matches the Rfam family "Bacterial small subunit ribosomal RNA", at positions 30 to 506 of the family's 1533-position model. The record is from RNAcentral.